This 302-nucleotide unclassified non-coding RNA is filed under the name fungal sp. Its description in RNAcentral is "partial internal transcribed spacer region". The stretch from base 1 to 46 matches the Rfam family "Eukaryotic small subunit ribosomal RNA", at positions 1786 to 1831 of the family's 1831-position model. Lineage: Eukaryota; Fungi. The record is from RNAcentral.
AAGUCGUAACAAGGUAACCGUAGGUGAACCUGCGGUUGGAUCAUUAUAAAAUGAUUACCUGGCUCUGUUGUUGGACUUUGUUCACCAGAGCCGGGUAUAAACAACCUGUGCACUGUAAUUGUUUCUUGGGUGUUACUUUAGCUAUUGCCAGUGCUUUGUGAUCGCAUUUCCUUAAUUGGGGUGCCUUUGCGUUAAUGGCUGGUAGUAGUUGAAGUUUCGCCCAGCUUAAAACCUUUUUAAAUUUGGCUGAGAAGUAAAUUGUUAAUAGCAAACAACUUUUGACAACGGAUCUCUUGGCUCUC